CUCUACACUCACAGGGCUGGGGACGGGACAGUCGCCGGCGUGCACCCGCUGGUGGGACAGCAGCUUGGAGGAGCGGGUGAAGCCCUUGCCGCCCCGGGCGCAGGUGUAGGUAUGAUCGCCGGUGUGGGUACGCUGGUGUUGCAGCAGGCUGCUGGACUGGGUGAAGCCCUUGCCACACUGGGCACAGGUGUAGGGACGCUCGCCGGUGUGGGUGCGCUGGUGCCUCAGGAAGUUGCUGGAGUGGGUGAAGCCCUUGCCGCACUGGGCGCAGGUGUAGGGCCGCUCACCGGUAUGAGUGCGCUGGUGCAGCACCAGUUUCAUGGAUUGAGUGAAGUCCUUGCCACACUGGGCACAGGUGUAGGGG
Amblyraja radiata (thorny skate) is the source of this 364-nucleotide long non-coding RNA. RefSeq lists it as uncharacterized. The transcript is spliced from 3 exons. The record is from RefSeq and is a predicted model, not a curated record. NCBI's taxonomy places the organism in Eukaryota, Metazoa, Chordata, Chondrichthyes, Rajiformes, Rajidae.